This 218-nucleotide non-coding RNA is filed under the name unclassified sequences. RNAcentral describes it as "RT-2 RNA". It matches the Rfam family "RT-2 RNA". Rfam says of the family: Coriobacteriales (Actinobacteria), Clostridiales (Firmicutes). The record is from Rfam by way of RNAcentral.
CGGGGUCGAAUGGAGUAGCGAAAGUGAAACGGACCCACGCGAAAGGAGAGACGCUUCCCGAGGCGAAAGCCCAAAACUGUACCUCUGAUGCCCGGCGGACGGACGCUGCUUGCAUGGCGGGUGAUGUGCCUUACCCCGUUUCAUGUGCGCCGGCAAAGCAAAUUAGACGGCACCCAACAAGACAUUUGUACGGAGGGCGAACAAAACCUUUAUGACCA